GUUUCCCUAAACUCCUACGAAGAAUCAUUCAAAUAAAAGUGUGAAGCAACAAGUGAACAUCAAGCGGCCCUGCGAUCAAAGUUUCCCUAAACUCCUACGUUUAAUCAGUCAAGUAGUAAUGUGAGGCAACAUGUUAACAUCAAGCGGCCCAGCGAUAAAAGGUAUCAUGAACGGAAAUACCAGAAACCAAAACAAUUCAGAUGAUAAAAACGUAUUUGGCAUAAAGAAAAUAACUUACUGGGAAAUAUACGGUGUAAAACGUUUUCUGUACCGCGGAAAGCGUACGUUUACACCAUUACUUUACCAAUCUUUAGAUGGAGGAAUGGUGAUCUCAAAUGACGUUUUUGGGCUAACGAUCAGUCAGUUUGAACGAAUGUAUAAAGCUUGUUUGGAAAGAAGGAAAUCAAAACAGCAAUGGAUACUUAACCUUAGAUAUCCUGACAAAUCUUCAAAAGAAUAUCUGGAAUACUUAGAGAACUGUACAGACUGUAAUAAAGGAAACUAUUAUGGAGACUGCAGAAUUAGACCAUUGACUCACAAAAAACUGUAACAAAUUAAAUAUGCAGCUGAUUCAUAUACGUGUUGUUUAAUAAAAGUUGU
Mytilus californianus (California mussel) is the source of this 600-nucleotide long non-coding RNA. RefSeq lists it as uncharacterized. The transcript is spliced from 4 exons. The record is from RefSeq and is a predicted model, not a curated record. Lineage: Eukaryota; Metazoa; Mollusca; Bivalvia; Mytilida; Mytilidae.